UACGUAGGGUGCGAGCGUUAAUCGGAAUUACUGGGCUUAAAGCGUGCGCAGGCGGUUUUGUAAGCCAGAUGUGAAAUCCCCGGGCUUAACCUGGGAAUGGCAUUUGGGACUGCAAGGCUUGAGUGCGGCAGAGGAGACUGGAAUUCCUGGUGUAGCAGUGAAAUGCGUAGAUAUCAGGAGGAACACCGAUGGCGAAGGCAGGUCUCUGGGCUGACACUGACGCUCAUGCACGAAAGCGUGGGGAGCAAACAGG
RNAcentral lists this ribosomal RNA (253 nucleotides) under uncultured bacterium. RNAcentral describes it as "partial 16S ribosomal RNA". It matches the Rfam family "Bacterial small subunit ribosomal RNA", at positions 524 to 776 of the family's 1533-position model. The record is from RNAcentral.